Malus domestica (apple) is the source of this 1450-nucleotide non-coding RNA. The record is from RefSeq and is a predicted model, not a curated record. Lineage: Eukaryota; Viridiplantae; Streptophyta; Magnoliopsida; Rosales; Rosaceae.
AAUUAGGGUUUUGUUAUUAAUGUGAAUUUCUGGUGUAGGGAUUUUAGGGUUUUUAAAUUACAGUUUGUAGAUUGGUGAUUGAUCAUUGAUCUGUUGGAAAAAUCCCCUAAAUUAUCUGGUGUAGGGAAUUUCAUGCAAUUCUUCAUUUAUAGCCUUGAUAUUGAUACGGGCUGAUAAAUUUGUUACCACAGAAAUGGCAGCUUUGACUUUCCCUUAUCACAUCAUCUAUAAAGACUCUUUUGAAGCCAGCAAUGGUUAAAUUGCUGCUACGUUGAACUGAAUUAUGUUUUCUGAAUUGUGCAACAAUGGUUAUGAGUAAUCGAACUAAGUAAUGGCAAGGGUUCGAUCAUGUGAAAGUUGCGGUAGUGCAAUUUAAUUGAGCCUCCGUUUAUUUCUUUCUGUUGUGAAUCUUCUCCCAUGCUCAGCUUCUGUGAGUUCUGUUCUAGUCUGGAAUUGGAUCCUUUCUCUUGACUCUUGAGAGCUGCAUUUUAAGUUGUUGUUGUCGUUGUAGUCAUUCUAGUAUGCCUUGUAUGCUAAAUAAGUUGUUUUGUUGAACUCUAUCAACAAUUCGUUUCGUAUAUACUGACAUCAAAAUGUCUGCAACAUUGUAUCCAGUAACCAUUACAAUAGUGUUGUUUUUCUGAUUCUAGUUCUGUUUUCCUACUUUGGAUUGUUUCACUUUUUGAAUUGAUUUUCGAAGAACCGAGUAAUUAAAAGAGACACACACACACACACACACAUAUUCCUGUCUUUGUAUCUGUUUGUGUACCAUAGUGCAUAAAGUAUGGGUUGUUUAAAAGUCAUGGUUUGGAUUAAGGUCGUUUCUGAUAGCACGCAGUCCUGAUUUUUAUCAAAGUGGAAUGUUGGUGUGAGUUUGAAUAUAUGUAUUGUCAUAUAAGCUCUUUUGUUUUACUUUGCAUAAACUAUGGUAACAGUAUGUUAAGCGAAAAGUUGCGUUUGUCUUUAGAAGUAUACAAAUUAAACCUUGAUCUUAUGAGGGAGUAUAUAUAUUAUAUCUUAGGGAGGCAUAUAUAGAUGGUAUUAGCAGGAUGAACUCUGCCUUGCACACAGAAAUUUGGAAAUUGUAACUGUUGUAAUGCUUUCACUGGCUAUCUGUAGACAUGGAUGUUGUUGUUUGGUUCUUGACUGUGGGAAGCUGUGAGCUGCCAGCAUUGCAAAGGUGUUAAUGUUAGAGCUCUUUUCUGUGGGACAGUUCAUUCCGCAUUAUUUCCAUUGCAUUUUGGCAACUAUAUUGAAGUAAUAACAAAAAAAAAAAAAAAAAAAAAAAAGUAAAGGACCUGUGGACCCGGCCCAUUUCAACCGGGCCGGGUUAGGUCCGGUUCCUAUAUUAGAAUAUGUUAUUCCCGGCCCGUGGCCACCCCUUGAGAAUGGUGAUCGUCUUGGUAAUUUCACGUUAUAGGUACAUAGUAAUAAUAAUUGUCUUUGUUUU